GAUGAACGCUGGCGGCGUGCCUAAUACAUGCAAGUCGAGCGAACGGACGAGAAGCUUGCUUCUCUUAUGUUAGCGGCGGACGGGUGAGUAACACGUGGAUAUCCUACCUAUAAGACUGGGAUAACUUCGAGAAACCGGAGCUAAUACCAGUUAAUAUUUUGAACCGCAUGGUUCAAAAGUGUAAGACGGUCGUGCUGUCACUUAUAGAUGGAUCCGCGUUGCAUUAGCUAGUUGGUAAGGUAACGGCUUACCAAGGCAACGAUGCAUAGCCGACCUGAGAGGGUGAUCGGCCACACUGGAACUGAGACACGGUCCAGACCCCUACGGGACGCAGCAGUAGGGUAUCGACCGCAAUGGGCGAAAGCCUGACGGAGCAACGCCGCGUGAGUGAUGAAGGUCUUCGGAUCGGAAAACUCUGCUACUAGUGAAGAACAUAUGUGUAAGUAACUGUGCACAUCUUGACGGUACCUAAUCAGAAAGCCACGGCUAACUACGUG
RNAcentral lists this ribosomal RNA (497 nucleotides) under uncultured bacterium. RNAcentral's name for it is "partial 16S ribosomal RNA". It matches the Rfam family "Bacterial small subunit ribosomal RNA", at positions 28 to 507 of the family's 1533-position model. The record is from RNAcentral.